RNAcentral lists this ribosomal RNA (253 nucleotides) under uncultured bacterium. RNAcentral's name for it is "partial 16S ribosomal RNA". It matches the Rfam family "Bacterial small subunit ribosomal RNA", at positions 524 to 776 of the family's 1533-position model. The record is from RNAcentral.
AACGUAGGUGGCGAGCGUUAUCCGGAUUCAUUGGGCGUAAAGCGCUUGUAGGUGGCCUUGUAAGUUGGACGUGAAAUCUCCCGGCUUAACCGGGCGGGGUCGUUCAAUACUGCAGGGCUGGAGGAUGUCAGAGGGCAGCGGAAUUCCUGGUGUAGCAGUGAAAUGCGUAGAUAUCAGGAGGAACACCCGUGGCGAAGGCGGCUGCCUGGGAUGUGACUGACGCUCAUGUACGAAAGCGUGGGGAGCAAACAGG